RNAcentral lists this ribosomal RNA (336 nucleotides) under Copera vittata. RNAcentral's name for it is "partial 12S ribosomal RNA". Lineage: Eukaryota; Metazoa; Arthropoda; Insecta; Odonata; Platycnemididae. The record is from RNAcentral.
UUAUUAGUUAUGGUCUUGAAACUCAAAGGAUUUGGCGGUAUUUUAGUCUUUUCAGAGGAACCUGUCUCGUAAUUGACAUUCCACGAUUUUGUUUACUUAACUUUGUAUUCAAUUUUUAUACCUCCGUCAUAAGAAUGUCUUUAUAGAGUUAAUUUUCUUAGUUAUUUAAGAUAAAAAUGUCAGGUCAAGGUGAAGUUUAUAGUUAAGAGAUGAUGGGUUACAAUAAAAUUAUUUAUACGAAUGUAUAUGAUUAUAUUAUAUUGAAGGUGGAUUUGAUUGUAAAUUUAUUUAUUAAGUUUUUUGAUUUAUAGCUCUAAAAUAUGCACACAUCGCCCG